AAUUCUCAGUCCAGGACUAUAGAGCCCCAUUCCUCCAGCACAGACAGAAGCUGUUCCACCACAGGAGAAUGCUGUGGUUCUGAAUCUGUUUUGCAAACUUCAGUGUGCAACAAUAUGCUCAGGAGAUGGAGUGAUGAGGAUGAGGAGGAGGCUGGCAGCAGUGGGGGAAGGGUUUUUCCUGAUCCCAGCUGAUGAUCAGCUUACACCCUAAAGCAGUGGUGGCGAACCUAUAGCACGAGUGCUGCCGCCAAAAAAGCUCUGAAAGGUUCAGCAUCGCUGCCCUAAAGCAUAAGAAUUCAUAUUCAGGGUAACUUUAUCACAGUCAGAAGUUUAAAUGUGCGCUCAUUGGAUGAAACAGCCAAUCCUUUCUACAUGCCGUUCACUUAGGAAGUAUGAUGCCUGGACUGUCAAACACUGUUUCCCUCCGGCCUCUUGGGCACAGCUCUCCCACCCUAGGCCCAGUGGGCAGCUAUCUGGGUGAGCCGCCUUCUCUGCAUGAUGGUGGGGAAGGGAAGAGGAGGUUUGUGCGUGUGUAUGUGUGUGUGUGUGUGUGUGUGUGUGUGUGUGUGUGUGUAGAGAGGGGACAGGAAGGAAGGAGGGAGGGUGUAGGGGAAGGGAACGCCAGGUGUUGCAGUGGGCGGCUACACAAACACGGGAAGAAAACAGACUCUGGGCAACUAACUCUAAGGUUCACUGCAACCCCAAGACUCAAAGCACUUGAGGGUCAGGGAGGCAAGGAGAGGAGGGGAAGAGGCUGUGGAGAGGGGUGCACCUGGGUAUUCAGGCGCCCCUCAUCUGAGCCAGCAGCACCCAGGGUUUCGCAGCACGGUGCCCGCUGAGGGAUCCAAAGCCAGGAGACUCAAUUAAUCAAAGCGCUGCUGCUGACGGAGCACAGAUGAAAGGGUUUCCAGGCUCGUCGGUGAUAUGCUUGGAGCCCUUCCAUGCGGGUAACAGGAGAGGGGCCCUGGGAGGGUCCAGGUCUGCUGGUAGGCCAGGCCCCAGGAGGCGCUGCAGCCGGAGAGGGCGUGGCCUAGAUGAGGGCGUGGCCUCUCUCAUCCCCUCCCCCGCGGGGCGGGUCCGGCUCGCGAUGCCACGCUGGGCGUGGCCGGCGGUCCUGAGGUCAAAGCGGGCGGCCGGUGCCGUGGACGCGCCCUGCCCGGCUGGCCGGGUCUUCGCGGCCGGCGCCCGGCUCCGGCGGGCUGCAGCGGGGCGCGGGGCCUCGGGUCCCUGACCCGCACCGGCCGGGCCCUGCGCCCGGCUCGCCUUUGUCCAGGCCUCGGCGCUGCCGCAGCCCCGGUGCAGCGCUGCGUUCCAGGAACUUUAGGCACCGCCGCGGGGUUCUUGGAAGACGUUGAGAGGAAAAGCAGCGUCUGGCGGCCUGUCCAAAGGCUCCUGAGCCACAGACGGCAUUCGGCCAGGGCCCUGCUGCCCGGGAGGGGCAGGCAGUGACCGGGGCUUUCCAUAAAAGCUCUGGAUCCGCUCCUCUCCUACCUUCUGUCCUUAAUUAGCGCCUCCUUCCUCCCUCCGAGCCCAGGGAACACGGAGGCAGGUGGGCCGCGGAGCGCGGCCGGCCUGGGGCUUCCGGCGGCCCGGGGUGGAGGGGGCGUCGCUAUGGCAACGAGCUCUUCCCGUGGGAAUCGGGGACUGGCGACGGUGGGCAGAUUGGAAAAGGACCGUCUGAGUGCCAGCUGCGGCUCCGGGCGGGCGGGGCCAGGGAGGGGCUCUUGGGUGGGAGCGGGGCGGCCUGGGCAGCAGCCCCAAGCCCGCAUCCUGAGUCACAGCGGGCCACGCAUGCUGGACACGUGACGUGACGUACUUGCUGUCGCUGCCAGGGAGCAGAUGUGUUUGCUGACUUGCUCUGAGUGGCCACUACCCAGUUUGGGCCUGGACAGGGGAGUGGGAUAGGUGGGAUCCUUCAUGAGUCUGCCCUGGUGUCCUCGCCAGAGCACAGGGCUUUGAACGAUGGAGUUUGGUGCUGGAUGGCAGAGGACACUGAUUUCUUUUUGCAGUCUCUUAAGCUCGAAAUGUUUUUCAAGUCAUACGUUAUAUUUUUUCCAGUUCAGAAAAGUACAGAAAAGAAGGAAAUGAAAAUAAUCCACAGUUCCCAAUCAUUCCACCCAAGGGUAAUCACUGUUGACAUUUUGCGAUCAUUGUUUAUUCUUCCUGUGCACAGGUAAGUAUAUAGAUGUAAGUGGAUUUAUAAAAUUGACGACACUACACGUAUUCGGUCACUUGCAUUUUCACUUGUCACAGACUUGGAAAAUGAACAAUUGAUAGCAUUAUUUCUAAUGGCAGCACAACAGGCCCAUAAUCUAUUAACCAAUUGCUGUUGCUGUAAACUUUCUUCCCAAAGUUUACUCUUGUAGGUGGUGAUAAAUUCUAAAAUUAGAAUUAUUGAGUCAAAGGAUAUAGGCAUUUAAAGUUUGUAUAUUUCUAGUAUUUUGGGUUGUUGCAUUUUUUUUAGGGAUGAGUGGACUUUAUUUUCUUUUCCAUCUACUUUUGGAGUAAUAGGGAAAGGCUUAUUUUAUAUGUGUCAUCUAUCUACCUAUCUAUCAUAAAUUUUAGACCCCUCCUCUGACUCCCAGAACUAAAAUCUGAAAUUCGCAUCUAGAUUCGAGGAGUUUUUUACAGAGUCCUCCAGACAGUACUCUGGGCAGUGAAGUGGACACUACUGGGGACAAGUAGGGCAGAGUCUGGCUGGUGGCACUGAGAGACAUGCUGAACACUCCUUGAAAGUGUCUGCCACUGCCCUCCGAGGAGCAUUAACUCUCCUGGUCUUCUGACCUCUGUUGUCCCUUGGAAAAUGUCCACAGGUAAAUUCUGAAGCAGGCCAAUGGGAUGUGGCUGGAGCACCUGCGGCCCCGCUGCAAAUGAAUUACGACUCCUUCCCAAACCCACGCCAAGGAGUGAGGUUAAUCUCAGGACAAAAGUGCAUAAUGGGUUAAGGUUUUUAUUUGUCCCGCUGCCUUCCCUCCCUGUUCCCUAAAUCAUUUUGUGGUGCCAACUCCUGCUGCCCAGGAUCCAAAGUGGUUUAACUCUUCAAGGCACAGCAGUGAAGUGCCUGAUUUGAACAAUUUUAAUGUUACAAAUAAAGUCUGCUACCCUUCCAGGCAUCCUAACAUUUAAUGACAGGAACCAAAAGGGAGAGCAAUUCUUAACUGUGGGACCUGUUAGGCACUGUGGCAGCUACAUGGUUUUUUGGUAUGAGGCACCUAAGCCUGAGGUUGUCCACCAGAGGAAUUCUGUUGGUCCUUUUACCAAUUUCUUACCACUCUUGCUUGGGGUUCUUUUUCCCUGUUGGAGUUGUGUGACCAGUAACAAGCUCCAUUGCAGACUAAACAGAAAGAAUAAAAGUGGGGGAAAACCUGAUAAGUCAGCUUCUUGGCCUGUCCGGGGUUGGGAGAUUAUAGAUAUAUAGGAUAACAGAAAAGAGGGGGAGGAAUAAGCUGAUAGAGGGGAGGAAUAUUCAUGUGUUUUCUGGGAAUGGAUGAAGUUUUCCCCAAAUUCAAGUGCCGCCCCUUUUCAGUUCUUUCAUUGUUCUUUCUGGUUGUCAUCCUGGCAACCGACAGUUGCCAUGGUGAUGGGGGGUGUGUCAUUUAGAUGCAGAUGGGAUUAUGAUGAAGUUCCAGGCUGGCUGGCAGUUAAACUCUGGUAGUUAUCUUGGAUCCAGCUUGGUCCAGCUUCCUAACCUCUGGCCUCCAGGUGUCCUGUUUGCAAAGACAAAUAGGAGAGGGCAAGGUACACCUUCAGCAGGUCAGGUAGACUCUGUGAGACCAGGGCAGGUUAGCACUUUCUGACCAGCAGCAGGAAGGGCAUGGCCAGGUGAAAGCAAGUGGCUGGGGAGGAAAGAGGCCAGAGUGUUGGAUCCCUCCCCAGGAUGGCACUCAGAAAAUGAAGGAGAGAGAGCAGGGCUGAGUUUGCUGCUGGAGGGAAUGGGAACCAGAUGAGCUGCUAAGGGAGACAGGAAUGAGUUGGGUUGUUAAAAGGAACCAAGUGAGAGAAGAGAACGAAGCAGGAUGUCAUCUGGCUCUGGGCUACAAGAUGCACUUUAAUGACAGGCUCAGCCAAGUUCACCUCUCCUCUUCCUCCCUGGCCUUUCCAUCUGAGUGUCUAUUAGGGGUCUUCUUUGUUCCGUGAAAUGCUGAUGCUGCCUGGAGCUCUGUGCUGUGUUCUUUUCUCCAACUGAACACACACUCUAGGCAUCAGUGACCCACUCCCCAGGCUGCACUGCCAUCACACUCACGUGCUGCAUGGCUGGCUGGCCCAUCUCUUCCUUGGGAGCUCAGUUCCCACCUGAUCCAGAAGUUGCCAGAAAUUAUAGUGACAGAAGGAGCCUUGGGGGAGACAUUUAUUCCCUUCAGCUGUGUGUUCUCUGGUUUUCUUCAUAAUGAACACAGGUAUUCCCUAUUAACUUGUGGGCUGUUUGAGGAUGAGGCUUUGUGUGGCCUUUACUUUUCUGAUUCUCCACAUUCAGUGACCAUCACACAUUGGUGGCAUUGACCGUGUAGUAGUUUCUCCACCAGGACCAUUUGGGAAGUACCAGUUGGGACACUGUUCCUUCUGCAAGGCAUCUUUAUGGACACAGCUCCCUUCAACCAUGCACAGUUGUUGGUCACCAGGUGGUCACCAGCUCCUCAUCAGCCAUGGUCACGAUCUCAUGACAGCUAAACGUUUUGAAUCAAUUGAAGACAUCAAGGCAACCACAACAGCAAAACUAAAGCCAUGAAAAGAAAAAAGGAGGCAAUUGUGAUGGGCUACAGGUGUUUGAAGUGAGGGGGCAGUUUGAGGAGGAAUGAAUGGCCGUGUGUCUUUACCAUAAUAUAUUUUUAAAAAUGUAAAUACACACUGUAUUUUUCAGUCACA
Cavia porcellus (domestic guinea pig) is the source of this 4863-nucleotide long non-coding RNA. RefSeq lists it as uncharacterized. The record is from RefSeq and is a predicted model, not a curated record. NCBI's taxonomy places the organism in Eukaryota, Metazoa, Chordata, Mammalia, Rodentia, Caviidae. The transcript is spliced from 2 exons.